AAGUAUUAAAUGUGUGUAAACAAUAAAGAUUCUAAAUGUGUUCCAUUAAUGUGUUGUGGGUAAGGUUAGGAUGACCCAUCUCAAUCAGAGUCCACAUUUCGUGUUGACUCUGAAAAAUGUUGCUUCCCUUGCAAACUUUCACAAACAAUACUUCAAAAACUACCAUUCAUCGCCUGACACAUGUCCAAGAAAACCCCACUACUUUCCCACCACGCAAUGCCAUGUCUGC
RNAcentral lists this long non-coding RNA (229 nucleotides) under Vigna radiata. Its description in RNAcentral is "long non-coding RNA (VRAD_LNC015602)". Lineage: Eukaryota; Viridiplantae; Streptophyta; Magnoliopsida; Fabales; Fabaceae. The record is from RNAcentral.